Paramormyrops kingsleyae is the source of this 1900-nucleotide non-coding RNA. The record is from RefSeq and is a predicted model, not a curated record. NCBI's taxonomy places the organism in Eukaryota, Metazoa, Chordata, Actinopteri, Osteoglossiformes, Mormyridae.
CCGACCCCCGGUACUGGGCUCUCCCAGUCCUCCACACAUUCACCUUCUUGGGGGUUGUGGUGAUGCCCAACUCAGACAAUGUGGCCCAGGAACCUAACCGACGGCUGGAGGAAGCUGCACUUAUCUGGUGUACAGAUCUGUUACAUUUUAUUUUAUAGAUUUCAGAAAGCUUUGUUUAAGGUUUAAGUUCAGCCUUACACAUAAAAGAAUGAUCACAGUCUUUUCCACACAGUGAUGCAAAAGUCUGCAGUUUAAACACUGGUAUCAGAUCAGUACUCAGUAUCAGCCGAUACCCAACGGCCAGGUAUCAGUAUCGGGACAGAAAAAGUGGGAUCAGUGGAUUCCCAUUUGUAACCUCAGUAAAAGCCGCCCUUCAGGUUACACCUGUCUCCGUAUCCUCCUCACUCAGCUGGAGCAGUGGCACCAAACUAAUCACAGGUUGGAUAUAAUUCUUGUCCUUCACCUGCACAGAGGUGGUCCUUAUCUGUCCGUCAUCAUCGGGGUACACCCACAUCACCUUCCCCAUGGGCCACCUGAUCAGGACUACCUGAUCCACUUGUAGCUACUUACCAUCUUCUUGCCAUUUCUUUCUCUCCUAAAGAUUUGGCAGAUAAUAGUGAGUGAAACAGGUCCAGAACUGAUCCGCCAGGACCUGGCUAUGUUUUAAACAAUGCUGUCUAAGAAGAUCGGUGGAAUCAUAAUCGCUUGGGGAAGAGAUGAGGUUUGGAAUUAUUGGCUCUGGGUCUGACAAAUCUGAUGUGAGCUUUGGAAGCCCAGGAAGUUGAUAGGGUAAGGAGAUGUCUACUUAUCCAAGUACUGGUGAAAGCAUCAUAUUUCAGGCCCCAAAGAGGCCUAGCUAGAGUAAAAAGUUCCAGGCCCAGAGGGGGCCUCACUAGAGUCUGGGGUUCCAGGCCCAAAAGAAGACUUGUAUCCCUCACCUCCAGAGAGUGACACAACUGAUUCCAGUGCUAAGGCCUGGAGCCAGCAAAGGGCCAGCAACCCCCCUCUGAGUUGUCUGAGCUCCUUCCCGGCCCAGAAGGGGCCAUCUCGCCAGAGUUCCCCGUUCCCGGCCCAGAAGGGGCCAUCUCGCCAGAGUUCCCCGUUCCCGGCCCAGAAGGGGCCAUCUCGCCAGAGUUCCCCGUUCCAGGCACAGAAGAUGUCUCCGCUGAGCCUCAAAUUCAUGGCUUUGAAGAAGCUAUGAACUCCGUACCAAGCUCAGAAGCACCUCCCCAGCCACUUCGCCAACACAUGGCCUGCUCAUUCCUCUGUAUUUUUGCACCUUUCUUAACUAACUGCAAUUGUUUUCCCCUUCUUCCCUGGGUCGUGGCUUAGCUGAAUAGGUGAAGCAGGCUCCUGAGAAGUGUAUUUCCCUUCUGUCAUUAAUGGACAUUUUUUGUUUUGUUUUGUGUGCCCCUUGAUUAUCAGUAUAUUACAUUGUUAAAAUUGUGUGUUUUUGUAUUGGUUGUUUUUGUGCCUUGUAGUUAUGACCUGUUCCACUUAUGUACUUUAUACCUCGUAGGGUUUGAUUCCUGAGUCCUUACUGCCCGUUAACAACCCUCACCUGUUCCCUGUACUUCCUCAUCGCUUGUAUGUAAUAAUAUGGAAAAUAACAUACAUCUUGUUGAAAUCUCAUUAUAUGUGUGUAAGUGCCUGGUCAUGCCCUGUUCCUUUGUCAGUCAUUGUUAAUGCUGUGUGCUUGUUCCCGUGUGAUACCUGUAUGUACAGUAUGUUUCAAGCCAUUGUAUUUCCCCUCUGUUUCCUUCUGCUUUAUUUCUAGCCUUGGUUUAGUUUGUUACGCCCCCCCACACCUUCUAUGUUUAGACCCCUUGUGGUUCCUUUUUUGUCUGGUUUACUUUUGAGUUCUACUUAUAAUAAAUAUCGCUUUGUUGUCAGUAAGUCA